Molecule: long non-coding RNA, 484 nt
Filed under: Coffea arabica (coffee)
Lineage: Eukaryota; Viridiplantae; Streptophyta; Magnoliopsida; Gentianales; Rubiaceae
Description: long non-coding RNA (CARA_LNC008336)
Source: RNAcentral
CAGAGUCAGGCACUCCUUUCAUUUCCCGUCCAUUAACCCGAACUCAAGACUGUUGAAGACAUGAGGGCUUCAAAGAUGCUGAAAAAACUUCCUAUCUUUUUCAUUCCCCACUUCAAUGCGCCAAUCAAUGCGCUACGCUGGCAAAAGGGCUGUCAGAAAGAGUCCAAUCCCGAGGAGAGUUCAUGCGUGAAGUUUCUUUGUUGAAUGAAGGUGAGUUCAAGGGCUUCUUUGAUCGGGAAAUGCACGCACUUCUUUGGUUGUCGUUAAGGUCCCUUCCACCUGAGUUCAAGAUGUCCCUUUCCGCUUCUCUUUCAGCUACUUCCCUCAUUGGGAUUGGUCAAGCUCCUUCACUUAUUGCUCGAUCCGAUCCGGAACUGAUAGCACCUUUUCUUCCUAUUAGUAGGUCUUAUUGCCCUCCUCUUCUGGUAGUCUAGUUCUAGUUUUGUUUUGAGCUGGUGAACCCAUGUUCUUCCUCUUCCCCCCG